Non-coding RNA from Peromyscus maniculatus bairdii (prairie deer mouse), 2071 nucleotides. The record is from RefSeq and is a predicted model, not a curated record. NCBI's taxonomy places the organism in Eukaryota, Metazoa, Chordata, Mammalia, Rodentia, Cricetidae.
GGAGGGUCUGGGGGAGGGCGUCUCUCUUGAUUGAUGUAAGAACUAUCUACUGUCUACUGAUGUUUUCCAUUCACUUUCGUUUUAUCCUACCAACUCGUGGAGAGUUGGGUGACUUCUGCCCAAACUGGACACACUUUCAACCAGGAUGAGAAACAGACAAAUGAGAAACCCACGCUGAGGGUUAAGAAGAAACAAUAAAGGAGAGAUAGAAUUCUAUUAGUGAAAACACGUCUGCCUCUCCUGUCUCCUUCAGUAACAUUUUAGGGCUUUGCUCUGUAGGAGGGGUGCACCUUCAGCAGUGGGUGACAACAGAAUUCUGACAUGUGCAGGGCGUCAGAUAUCAGGUCACAGUAAGUAGACGGUGUCUAUUAGCUUCCUGCAUGCAAACUUCCCAAGCAGAGUGGUUUUAAUCCGUUUAUUUGUUUAUUUUUUUGGACUGUUUUUCCGUCCUCAAAUCUAUUCAUUGAUGGGAUUGAGAGAUGUGAAGUGUCCACUCUGGCUUGUGAACUAUUGGCACUGUCUCUUUUUAAAUGUGGAACUGGAAUUUCCACAUUUAAAAAACUGGAAUAUUUUGGUAAUGAAUUCUAAGUCUCACUUUUCUUCAGAAAUCUUGAAGCAUUCCUUAGCUAAGCCCUCACCCUCACCACACUCCAACCGUCACCCCCAGCUCUCAGUGCUAAAUCCCUCCCCAGCCCACGUGUGUGCUGUGCUCCCAGGCAGUGCUCCCUGAGCCUGGGCCUGUUCUUGUAGCUCUUCUCUUGGUUUCUUCCCCUCCCACCCACUUCCCACUCAGCCCUUCAGAUGAUAGUCUCACUCUGCUUGAAAGCUCCCAGUGGAUCCUCAUGGGUUACUGCAGAACUGUGUGUUAAGACACACAAUGAAACUGGAUGUGGUGGGGCACGCCUUUGAUCCCAGACCUGGGGUCAGAGGCAGGCGGAUCUCUGUGAGUUCGAGGCCACCCUGGUCUACAGAGUGAGUUCCAGGACAGCCAGGGCUGUUACACAGAGAAACCAUGUCUGGAAAAACCAAAACCAAAACCCCACAAAACCCACUCACAAUGAGUUGUGAGGAGCACAGACAUUGAUUGUCACAGGUUUGAGGAAGCAAGCUCAAGCUUCAGCCUUGCCCACUUGUCCCAGCCUGCUAUGUACAGGUCAUCUCCUUUCUAUCUGAAAAACAAAACAAAAAAAAAAAAAAACAAAAAAAACAAAAAAAGCAAAAACAAACAAAAACAAGACGCUCUGAGCACAUCUAGUUGGGAAGACCCUUCUGCCCCCAGAGCCUCUCCUGCCACUUCUCACCCUACAGGCCUCCUGUCCAGCUGUGUAAGUCUCUAGCUUUCCCAGCAGAAGUCCACAGUUUCACAAUGUCAUGGCACUGAACCAGUCCAGAUGAGAACUUCAUUCUCUCCCAGUUUGGCGAAUGUCUGCUUAGUAUCUGAGACUCUGCUCAACAGCCUCCUCUUUCACGCUCUCCCUUACCUCUAACCAACAGGAUGAGUCACACUCUUCGCUGUUCCAUCACCAGCUGGCAGGGGGAACUUGUGAAAGUUACGAGAACUCCGAGUCGUAAUUUCCUCAUUUGAAAGAUGGAGAUAAUAAUACCUGCCUUGCAGGGUUAGCAUCAAGAUUAAAUACGGUAACACAUGGAAACCACUGAACACAGAGCUUUGGAAUUGAGUAAGCACUUGGACUGCGGACUUUCAUUAUCUACAAACAUCUGUAUUUUCUUCACGAAAGGCAAAGCUAAAAAACAUUCCAGUUACUAAGACACACAGAUGCCUGGAGGGGAAGGUGCUAUGUGACAUUCAUGAAGAAAUCCCUCUUUGGCAAGCUGAUUGACUCUCGGUCCUCAUAUCUUGUGCCUUGUACUUGCCUAUUACAAAUGCUGUUUGAAGUUUUCCUGUUGGUUCCUGGAUGGUUCUAGGGAGAAGGGGAGAGACUCUUCUUGAUCUGGACUGGAACAGCUAAGCCAGGAAGCCACAGGUGAUGAUGAUGGCAGAGAUGACUGAGGCCCAGAGUCCUUUGUGCGGGAUGGCUGCUGGGAUAUGUUGUAUACAUGGGCAAGUUCA